UCAAGCAGCCGGCGAAGAUGGACGUGAGUGAUCACGUGAUAGAAGAAGGAUAGAAGCCAGCUUACAAAAUCAUGGAUUUGGAUGAUAUUUACCGCGUGUCAUAGAUCUUGAAUGAUUAUGAACAUAUUUCUUGAUGAAACAACCUGAGAAACCAUGAAAGACCCUUAAAUAAGGUCAAUCUUUUAGUUCAAAUCUGCACUAGAACUUCAAGAAAUUCAGCAUUUUGUAGAAUGAUCUGUCUCCACCUAACUUGGUCUCUCUUUAGACCUGAUACCAGUAUUGUCCUGAAUCUAUAAUAGAGGAUAUGACCUUUCUCUAUUGUGAGGACCUGACCAUGGUCCUCCUCCCUCAAAUUGAAGACUCACCAACUAGCUGUCCUUACAUUGGAAUUCUGGCAAAGCUUUUGAUACGUCCCUGUUUGCUUCUAAGUGGUGGACGGCUUUCAACCCUGGUUUUUUUCCUCUCCUUGCUGGGACAUAGGUUAGAGGUACAGAUGCCCCAGGCUGUUUCUUGGUUCCUUUACAUCUCUUUUUCAAGGAGUGUUUUUGCUUUUACUUCCUCUGGAACUUCUCCCCUUCCCUAAUUUCAGCGGAUCGUCUAGUCCGCCUGGUUGGCCUAGCGGAAACGGAAGCUUGUGUAGUCUGUUGGGUCUAGAGGUAGACUCCCGAUCUCUUAUUAGAGGAGGUGGUAGCUUGUGUGUCCACUUGAGCAGACUGGUCUCGCGCAAAUGUCAGCUGUCUUUCCUGUAGUUCCCUUUGAAAUGGGUCUCUUGGAUCUUCGCAGUCCAGGCAGUUCAACCAAGAAUGGACGGACUAGGUAGUGCCAUCCGACAUCGUUAUACGUCUUGGUGCAAUUCCCUGGCCACGACAAUACAGCUGGGGACAAGAAAAUAAGAUGCUCCUUAAAUCCAGCUAAAAUACGAGAGGGGACUCCGCCUGUCACACCUGACUGGGAGCUUCCCCACCAACAGCAAGGUCUCAUAUCCGAGAGGAAGAUUAUUAUUUGGUCUUUGAAAUUUAAAGAAGUUUGCUGUUUUCAUGGUACUGAAUUGAUUUUUCAAUGGCUGGAGCUUUGAACAAGAUAUACAGCAUAUGGAUGUUUGUACUUUAAUGAAGAAUUUUAAUAAAAUAAUUU
This 1134-nucleotide long non-coding RNA is filed under the name Sitophilus oryzae (rice weevil). Its description in RNAcentral is "uncharacterized LOC115890175, transcript variant X1". The record is from RNAcentral. Lineage: Eukaryota; Metazoa; Arthropoda; Insecta; Coleoptera; Curculionidae.